AAACUUUCAACAACGGAUCUCUUGGUUCUGGCAUCGAUGAAGAACGCANCGAAAUGCGAUAAGUAAUGUGAAUUGCAGAAUUCAGUGAAUCAUCGAAUCUUUGAACGCACCCGGACUGGCCCAGGGAGGUGGGCAACCACCACCCAGGGCCGGAAAGCUCUCCAAACUCGGUCAUUUAGAGGAAGUAAAAGUCGUAACAAGGUCUCCGUUGGUGAACCAGCGGAGGGAUCAUUACCGAGUUUACACUCCCAAACCCCCUGUGAACCUCUACCGAACGUUGCCUCGGCGGGGGCGCGGACGCGCGCCGUCCCGCCCCCGCCGGGGGACCCAAACCAAAAACUCUUGUAUCCUCCCAUCGUGGCAUGUCUGAGUGGAUUUAUCAAAUGAAUCAAAACUUUCAACAACGGAUCUCUUGGUUCUGGCAUCGAUGAANAACGCANCGAAAUGCGAUAAGUAAUGUGAAUUGCANAAUUCANUGAAUCAUCGAAUCUUUGAACGCAC
Molecule: ribosomal RNA, 501 nt
Filed under: Claviceps sorghicola
Lineage: Eukaryota; Fungi; Ascomycota; Sordariomycetes; Hypocreales; Clavicipitaceae
Description: partial 5.8S ribosomal RNA
Rfam family: 5.8S ribosomal RNA (bases 2-152)
Source: RNAcentral